Molecule: long non-coding RNA, 2699 nt
Organism: Symphalangus syndactylus (siamang)
Lineage: Eukaryota; Metazoa; Chordata; Mammalia; Primates; Hylobatidae
Source: RefSeq, a predicted model, not a curated record
AGGGUAGAGGCUCAGACAUUUAUAGAACUAAUUCAGAGCUAUAGAACAUUAGAGCUGGAAGAAGUUGAGAUCACAUAGUUUACUGCUUUCCUCCAUUCUACAGAUGAGGAGACUGAAGCACAGAGGUGAAGCAGCUUGCCCGACAUCACACUGCUGCUUAGUGAUAGAGCCAGUGCUAGACCUUGGGGCGCCUAACUGUUACUGUUGGAGGCUCUUAACCCACUGGGAUCAAGAAGGUGUCAAGAGCUAGACUCUCUCUCCAGGAAAAUGAACACAGACACAAAACCUUGCAUAUAUGCUUCCAGGUAAAGAACCUGCCUGCAUUUUGGUACCACUACCUGCUGGCCUGUCCUGAGCAUGUUAUGUCAUGAGAGGGCAGGGAAGGCUGAAUCAUUAAAGACAUGAAUCAGAUUGAUUCUCGUGGCUUUAAAAACAAACACCACAGGACCAGCGUGACCCGACAGCCUGUUCUUAUCCACAGAGGCUUGUGGUCUCCAUUGAAAAGAAGCAAAGACAGCACGUCCCAACUAAAAGACUGUGUCAUCCUAAAGGUGAAAGGAAGAGAUGAUCCAAGCCAAUUUAGGACCAAUAGCAGACUCUUCACACUGCCUGGGGAUAGAGGGACCACCCUGGGCUCCUCUUACUCCUGGAUUUACUUGGAUGACCAGACUCAGGACUUCAUUUAAAUAGGAUUUGAUUUCAUAAUGGAAUCUUCAGCUUGAAAUAUAAAUUUGUUUCUGUCUCCCUCUGCCAUCUCAGCCUUUCUUGGCCACUUCCUGAAUAAUGCAUGAAGUGAACUCCUUAGAGGGCUCAGCUUCACUGCCCCUCCAGCUUUAGCCAUGCUCUAGCAGAGAGAAGGACAUACAUCUUCUCUUCACAGAAACUGUCAUGUCCUGGAACACAGCCUGCCUUCUCUGGGUCCGAGCCUCUCACCUCCCAGGCUGACGUCAGCCCUGUUCUCCCUGGGGCUCUGUGUGGACUGAAUAGAGGUUCUGCAGUGAGUCUCCACCUUGGGGUUUUCAAUGGCUAUCGUGUGGCAACAAGACAACGGAUGUGUCCAUGGCACCGGCUGUCUCUGAGGAUGUGGCCUGAGAACUCCCGGGUCACCAAGCCAAGUGCUGAGUUGGCAGGAGUUCCUACAAUCGCAGAGGCUAGGCCUCCAUGUGGCAUAAAGAGGAGCAUUGUCUUGGCAACAUAAGAGAUGAUUCAAUGAAUAAGGCUGGUAGCAAGACUGCUUAUUAUUACCUGACCUCAGUUGAUUCGGUGCCCAAGCAGUGAAAUACAGGCAAUUCAUGGAAUUCCUUUCUUUCUUUCACACUAAUUACACAACACAAACCAUACAAGUCUGUUACCAGUGGUAUUUACAAAUGAAUGUCUUGUAGACCAAAUUUCACAUUAACAUUUUUUUCUGCAUUGAAAAACCAUCAGUAAGAUGUCUUAUUCAUUUUUCUCUGUUGCCAAGAACGUAUCAAUUCUGGCCCACAUUACACAGAUUAAAAUAUCGUUAGGGCUGACUUGUGUACUCGACUGGAAAACCAUCUUAGUCCUUAACAGUGGGGCUGCCACUGCAGGGUCCAUGUGUCCAACCUGAGCUGAGAACUCAGACCCAACUGGCAGCCCUUUCCUUGUCCAUAGGCAGCACCUUCUCUCUUUUCAAGUCCUUAGCAUCAUGUCCAAGCUCCCCCUCGCUAUUAUCCCAGGAGAGGACCUUCCACCCACUUCAUUAAGAUAAUUGGAGUGGGCAGCUAUAAACGACUUCCCUUUCCUGCUCCCCAUCUGAAGAUUUAUCUACAUCUGCCUCAUCUUCACCUCCAUUUCUCCAGAUUCAAAGGAUCUAGUAUCCGGACUUGGGCUUAAAGCCAGUCCUUCCUCUGCAUCCCCAAUUGGUUGCUUGUCCCUUGGUCCACCAGUCAGCCCCUCUCUCCUAUAUCUUCAACUUCCUCCCUACCAUAUGUUUUUCUUCUUCCUAUAAACAUAGUGAAAAAUUAAUAAUAAUCCUCACUAUGUAGCUCCUUUCCUACCAUUCUCCUUCCCUGUGCACCAAACUAUGAGAAGCAGGUCUGCACUUGCUCUCUCCACUCUCUCCCCUCCCUCUUAUUCCUCCACAUUCAAGCUCCUGCUCCUUGGCGCACUGCUCUUCCUUCUCUAUUCUUACCCAAGUCAUCUCCCUCCCUCGUGUUUUUACUACCAUAUUGUGCUGAGGACAUUCAAACAAGUAGAACCAGCUCUGGCCUCUCCCCUAUACUUCUUUACAUCGGCGUAUAUAACUGCUUGAUAGGCGACUCCACUUGGAUGAUCUGUGAGCCUCUCAAACUUGAUGUAUCUAAAACCAAACAUAUCUUUCUUCCUUCUCCUCUUUAUGAGACCUACUCCUCCUCCUGCGUUCCCAGUCUUAUAAUGAACCCACUAUAUUGGAUCCCAAGACAUAAAAAACAGUCUAACCUCUUUCCUUUCAUGCAUUCCCUAUAUUCAAAAAAUCACUUAGUCGUAUCUGUUUUGUCUCCUAAAUACAGCCAUACAUUGAUUAACACUGGGGAUAUGCCUGAUAAAUGUGUUGGGUGAUUUUGUUGUUGUGCAGACAUCAUAGAGUGUACUUGCACAAACCUAGAUGGCAUAGCCUACUACACCCCUAUGCUAUAUGGUAUAGCCUAUUGAUCCUAGGCUGCAAACCUGUACAGCAUGUUACCGUACUAAAUACU